GACGAACGCUGGCGGCGUGCCUAAUACAUGCAAGUAGAACGCUGAAGAGAGGAGCUUGCUCUUCUUGGAUGAGUUGCGAACGGGUGAGUAACGCGUAGGUAACCUGCCUUGUAGCGGGGGAUAACUAUUGGAAACGAUAGCUAAUACCGCAUAACAAUGGAUGACCCAUGUCUUUUAUUUGAAAGGGGCAAAUGCUCCACUACAAGAUGGACCUGCGUUGUAUUAGCUAGUAGGUGAGGUAACGGCUCACCUAGGCGACGAUACAUAGCCGACCUGAGAGGGUGAUCGGCCACACUGGGACUGACACACGGCCCACACUCCUACGGGAGGCAGCAGUAGGGAAUCUUCGGCAAUGGGGGCAACCCUGACCGAGCAACGCCGCGUGAGUGAAGAAGGUUUUCGGAUCGUAAAGCUCUGUUGUAAGUCAAGAACGAGUGUGAGAGUGGAAAGUUCACACUGUGACGGUAGCUUACCAGAAAGGGACGGCUAACUACGUGCCAGCAGCCGCGGUAAUACGUAGGUCCCGAGCGUUGUCCGGAUUUAUUGGGCGUAAAGCGAGCGCAGGCGGUUUGAUAAGUCUGAAGUUAAAGGCUGUGGCUCAACCAUAGUUCGCUUUGGAAACUGUCAAACUUGAGUGCAGAAGGGGAGAGUGGAAUUCCAUGUGUAGCGGUGAAAUGCGUAGAUAUAUGGAGGAACACCGGUGGCGAAAGCGGCUCUCUGGUCUGUAACUGACGCUGAGGCUCGAAAGCGUGGGGAGCGAACAGGAUUAGAUACCCUGGUAGUCCACGCCGUAAACGAUGAGUGCUAGGUGUUGGAUCCUUUCCGGGAUUCAGUGCCGCAGCUAACGCAUUAAGCACUCCGCCUAGGGAGUACGACCGCAAGGUUGAAACUCAAAGGAAUUGACGGGGGCCCGCACAAGCGGUGGAGCAUGUGGUUUAAUUCGAAGCAACGCGAAGAACCUACCAGGUCUUGACAUCCCGAUGCUAUUUCUAGAGAUAGAAAGUUACUUCGGUACAUCGGUGACAGGUGGUGCAUGGUUGUCGUCAGCUCGUGUCGUGAGAUGUUGGGUUAAGUCCCGCAACGAGCGCAACCCCUAUUGUUAGUUGCCAUCAUUCAGUUGGGCACUCUAGCGAGACUGCCGGUAAUAAACCGGAGGAAGGUGGGGAUGACGUCAAAUCAUCAUGCCCCUUAUGACCUGGGCUACACACGUGCUACAAUGGUUGGUACAACGAGUUGCGAGUCGGUGACGGCAAGCUAAUCUCUUAAAGCCAAUCUCAGUUCGGAUUGUAGGCUGCAACUCGCCUACAUGAAGUCGGAAUCGCUAGUAAUCGCGGAUCAGCACGCCGCGGUGAAUACGUUCCCGGGCCUUGCACU
RNAcentral lists this ribosomal RNA (1374 nucleotides) under uncultured bacterium. RNAcentral describes it as "bacterial SSU rRNA". It matches the Rfam family "Bacterial small subunit ribosomal RNA", at positions 28 to 1387 of the family's 1533-position model. The record is from RNAcentral.